UUUUUUCCCCGCAGAUACUUUUUAUUUGGUUGCUCUUUCUUCGCUGCCUGCUUUAACUUGUACAAGCAGCACUACUCCAAACUCUUACUGCAUGAGCAUCAGUUUACACAGACCAUUAUUUAACGCUCCCUCCCCUAGGGCUGGAAAAGGGGGGUGGGUCUGGGAUGAGACUUGAAUAGAACGAACCUAUUAUUUCGUAUAAUUCAAAUCAGAUAAGUUUGCCCAUUAAGCGUGCAGUCCAAGUUUACUUUUUCUCUCUUUCCCCAAUUGCUUUGGCAAAAUCUCACAUGUGGAUUAUCCCAACUUUCUCCUUCAUUAAGAAGGUGAAUUUGGGGCCUUUUUUUUUUUUUAUCUUCUCCCCCCUCCCAUAUGUUAGAGAACACAGUAUUUUCUGUGAGUAUCAUCCAAGAACAUAUAUAUGGAAACAUUUCUACAUCCACAGAAAACAGCAACUGUCUUCCACGGUAACAUUACAAACUCGCAUUCCUGUAAGUUACAAUAACCAGGGAUGUUAUUUGUAUUACAGAGUUUGUUUGUGAAAGGAUGUACCUUGUGUCAACUUUUGUACAAAAUAUCCAGUGCCUUUCAACCAUGCACAAGGUUCACCUCGGCUUUGCCUCAAUUCAGCAGUACAGGUCUAUAACCACACACGGAGAACUUGAGCUCCAACCUGUAGAUCAGCUUCUUUUGCGCAAUUUCAAAGUCCUUUGUUCUACCUUCAUACCCACUUGUAUAUGCUCAUAGAAGUAUUAGUGAUAGUCUGUAAAAACGUCAUUAGCUUCAGAAAAGGUGCACAAGAGAUCCAGCUCAGUUACAAGUGGAUCACAAGCUCUGAUAAAACCAGAAAACAGAGGAAAAUUUAAGGCAAGAUCCACAUUUCUAGAACUUACUUUACCAGCAACAUAGCCAUGACCAAGUUUAGUGAGCUUCAAACUUAUUUUCCCUAUAUUCUCCAUGUUUUUGUGCACUUAUAUUUGGGGGCACAAACCAAUUAAGACUUGUGUACAUGCUUGAUUUUAUCACUGAGAAUAAAGUCCACCUCCCAUUAAACAUCAGCCUUUGUAAGCACAGCAUUAAGUGUUCCAGGAAUAAAAAUGCACAGGAUAAAUAGCAUCUAUAAAGUACACACUUGUUUAAGCUGAAGUAGUGUCUCUAAAAUAGGCUUCAUUAUUUUUUAAGAAGUCUAGAGAAAAGCAGCAUAAAAAAAUAGAAGUUUUUAAAAAUGAUAAAUAGAGGCGGUUGAGAGUUAUUUCAUGUGGUAAAGAAGACUGCAUGACAACAGCCUAUAGAUGUAUACACCUUCUGUUAAGAUGCAUAUCAGAAGAAAAAAAACAAUAGUCAUAGUUUGCAGCUACAAAUGUCUUGGAUAGAUUUUCAGAUAGCACUGCUACCUCAGAUACCUCUGGGUUCUCCCACACAUUUCAGACUGCCAAGCUACCUCACAAGGUUAUGUAAUUGCUGUCACUAACUCUGUAAGAGCAGAUUUGAUAAACAUCUGUUGGGCACAGUCUGAGUGUAUCACAUUCUAGACUACCUUUGGAGUUUCCCUUUACUGACUAUGUUUAUGCCUGUUGUAGCUAUGUUAUUUCUUUAACAUUUGCCUGAAGAUGGUUUGGGAGACACAAUUACUUAUAAAACAAAUGGUUCUGGGGAAAAAAAAAUCAGGUAGAUGUGACGAUAAACUUGUUCUGACUUUUACAAGUGAAAGCUAAUUCUAUGUCUUGCUUAGGGACAGUGUAGGAGAAAAAAAAUGAAACAAAACAGGGAAUACCUCUUAAAGUAAAUAGUAGAUGCACUAAGAGAUACCUGUAGGAGGAUUUAAAAAGAACAGGAAGAUAGACAGUAGUCCUAAAGGAUGGAAAGGACAGUCCAAACUAAAUCACCUAGAUUACAUUUGCCAUAUUCUAAGAACAAUAUCCAAAAUAUUUAAAGCUUCUGAAUAACUGACAAUGUCCCUAGAUUGUAAGUCAACAAAUAAAAUGAAAACAGCACGAAUUCACUUUGCCAGGAACACUGGUAUAACUCCUUAACUAGACAUAUUAAAGGUUAUAUCAGAAUUUUAAAAAAUGAAUUAAGAUCAGAGCUAGAAAUUUGAAAGUAAAGUUUGUUUUCAAGUUUAUGCAGUAGCUCUCCAGCUUUAAAAACUGAUUUUCAUGUUCUAAUCUCUAGAUUGAUGGAGAGAAUAUAUGCUCCUCCUGAAACUCCUUCUCACAUCUAUUAGUAUGGUAUUUUGUAUCAGUCUCACACCAUUAAUAUCAUGUAAAGCAGCUGCUUCUAUUCAUAUGCUAGUAAGAAACUCAGAUAUACUAUAUACUGUAGGGCUUCAAUCUUGCAGCUGGCACUAGCUUUCUCUGCCUGUACAUUUUUUGUAGUUAAUUCCAUAUUUGGGCAUUUGGUUCCCUCCCCCUACCCUUUACUUCACAAUGAAUUACUCCUUCUCUACAAAAUUAAUUGUAAGAGAGUUUUUGUGACCAGCCUACUUGAAAAAGAGUUUCAGAAGUUUUGUCCUCUUAAGUACUUCACCACAACAGUACCUAUUUUUUUCUCAAAGGAAUUUCUAGAGGUGGCAAUAGUCCCAGCAUAGGAACUAUGUGGUAAAUCCACGCUUUCACUCACACAUCUAAGCAGUUUAGUUCAUGUUCAUGUUUAAUUUAUUUUGUUUGUGUGUUUGCCAAAUAAAUAAAUAAAAAGUGCAAAACACAUAUUCUAUUUGAGAUAGGUAAACAGAGAAAAAUGCUAUUUCAGUCCAAGCAGAGCUGAAGGGGACGCCAAUCAUACUCUACUCACUUCAAGGGAGACUAAACAUAGAACUUGCAUACAAGCAUAAUAUAUAGUAUUUUUAAUAUAUUUAUAUAUAGAUAGAUAGAUAUAAAUAUAAAUUUAAAAAUAUAAUAUCAUUCAAACAUUCUGUGACUGCCUGCUAUCAAGUUUAUCAUAAUAAAUCUACUUUUAGGAAAUAAAAACCAAACACCUAUACAUAUAUUCAGUCUGCUACAUGGAUAGAUCAUGCUCAACAUUGGAAAGCCUAAGAAAGUUUCUCCCAUUAUUCACACGCACACAUAUUAAUGUGAAAGCAAAAAAUGCAGGAAAAAGUCAAUGAAUGUAGUUAUUUUUGAGUAAUGUUAUCAGCUUUUAAAGAAAAGGCAGAACAAAUGUGGCAUUUGAGAAAAGAGACCUAAGACAUUCCUGUGAGACACCUCCACAUCUGCUACUGUUCUGUGUUUCUAAUGAUUAGGAUUUGCCAUCAAUGUUUUAACCUAUUUCCCUCCAAAUAAAAAUACAAAGAAUUUGCUUAGAGGCAACAGUUGAGUAUAAUAAAAAUAAAUGAAAAAAGCACAAAAUAGCAAUGAUGGUUAAAACUGUCAACUUUCUUGGCUAUAACAGAAGAGGAAUUUGAAGGAGAAUUAACAAUGCAGUUCCACAUAUCUGUAAAAUGGGCUCCUUUCAGGCACGAGUUGACUGACAUCCACAGUAAUAUAAUCUUUACUCAGUGCACAAGGUAGCCAGUAGCUCUAAGUCUUGUGUUAGCAAAAACCUAGUAGUGGUAAGCCUAAGCGGCCUGCAUAUUGUAGCUUGUAAUAACAGAUAACAGAAGGCUCACAAAGUAAUUUAUCAAAAAAACCCAGUCAUAAUAUUAACUUCUAAGUAUGUUUGGAACAUGAUAGAUAUUUCUAGGAAGCUUGUUAGAUGGAGUAGAAAUGAAGAGCUGCUAGUAGAUACAAGUUCAGAUAGACUUUUACAAUAAUGCUAUUGUAUGAUAACACAGUACAGUAACUGUAGAAUAACGCAAGCUCAAAGGGUCCCAUAAGGAUCACCGAGUCCAACUCCUGACUCCACAGGACCACCCCAAAAUUAGACAAUAUGUCUGACAGCAUUGUUGGGAUGCUUCUUGAACUCCAGUAAGCUUGGUGCUCUGACCACUUCCAUGUCUGACCGCGCUGUCAGUGAAGAACCUUUUCCUGAUAUCCAACCUGAACCUCCCCUGGCCAUCAAUAAUUAUCAAUAAUACUAUAGUAAUCUAUUAAUGCAGAUACAGUUUUGUUUUUCUAGCUAAGCUAUUGAAAAAUAAUACUUGGAAUUAUAAUAGCUAAAUUAUUCCAUGGUUAAACAGUGAAAACCAGGAAUGGAAUACUUAUGAAUGCGAAUGAUUGUGUGGGUUACCACAGCACUGAAUAUAUAAUUACACUAUUUUCUUCUCUUUUCUGUGCCAGAUAAUAAUUGUGUGGUUCUGUUUGACUUUCAAAUAAGAGUUAUUAAUAUACGCAUCACUGUUUGCUGCUUUACCACCACUCUCUGCAGCCUUACUACAGCAGAAUCCAAGAUGGAGGUCAGACUGACCAACUAAGCGUAUUAAAUAAUCAGCAUUAUCAGUAAAACCCAGAGUUUACGCUCCAAGAGACAGACAAAGCUGAAAUAAUAGUCUCCUAGAGUAGACUAGAAAAAGAUAAAGGAAGAGUGAAAGAAUGAAACUUACCUACAGUUGAGAGAGCAGCAGCAGAUUUGACAUGACCUAGGGUAAAAGCUAGGCUUGUGGAAGGAUGUGUUCUGUCCCUUUUUCCUUAGAAAUACAAUCGCGGAUUUGUUUCAGGUAACAGAAAUCCAGUAGUGUCAGAGAAACAAGGAAUUCCCACGAAAAAUGGUGAAUGUAGCAGCUGUAACAUAAAACUUGUUCGUUCCAAUCCACAUAAGCCCACUGAACCAUAAAGGAGAAGUUAUGCCAUCAGCUCUAGCCAACCAAAACACAUUUAUGUGACUUGGAAGACAAACAUUUUCUCCUACUUCCACAAUCUUCCAGCACAUGUAUUCAUCAGACUUAACAGAAACUUGAAUAUACAGUUAUUUAAAUUUGAACGAUAACUUUUGUGCUAGUCUGUCAGUCCACUGAUUCUGAAAAAUUGUUUUGUGUAACUAGUCAGUUUGGACAUUUAUUAUUUCAAACCAGUUGGAGCACAUGCCUCUUUCACAGUAGAAGUGUUUCAAUUUUAGUUAACUUUUGGUAUGUAACAGGAUCACAGUAUAAACUAAACUUGACUAUUGACAAUUUAAGAUUGCAUAUUAUUAUUGGAGGAUAGCUUGCCUGGAAAUCCACAGUCAUACUGUUCUCUCAGUCUGGACCCCCUAGUGGGGUCAUAUUAACUGUGCUUUGUUACCUUCACUAAGUUAUUUCUAAAUCCAAUUUAAACUUGCCCUCCUCUUUGCAUGAACUCUGACAAAGUUCAUCUGAAGCUUUCUUUGUGUCCUAAUGGCUUUGCUAUUCAGAGUCAGUGGUUACAUUAUCAUCUUAGCAGGAAUUCUGUUUUCUCAGAAUUAUUUUCAUUUUUCAAUAGUCUUGGCUAUAUCUGGCUUGCAAUCACUUGAACAGUAUCAUAAAUAUUGUACUACGUAUAAAAUACCACAGUGUUCAAAUAGCUAAUGCAUCUAAACGCAUUUAUGGAAGCAAAAGGGGUUUGAUGGGAGGCAUUUAACUUGGCCCAAGUAACACCUUCAAUUAACACUAUAAAGAUAGGCUCUUCAGAAAUUUCAGAAGGAAAAACAGCUGAAGCAUUGAAACGUCAGAAAUUUCGGCAAAAAUUUUCAGUGUAAUUUGAAACAUCUUUUCACUGAAAAAGCCAUGCCAUUAGUCAUGGGUUUUGCUUCUUCUGACUGCUCUUAAAUGCAUAUUUUGAAAGACCUUUUCAAGUCGUAAAAUCAUUUCUUUGGAAUUUUAAAUGAUUUCCAAAUUCCUAUUUUUUUUCCUGAAAAAAAGGACAAAUUUGAACUUAAUAGAGCAUGAGGUGACAACAGAGCUUAUAGGUAAUUUACUCAUGAAGCAGCUUUAGUUUAAAAGAAAAAUGAAAACUACUUCUCAGUUUUUGGUUACAUCUACCAUACGGUAAUUUAAAAUCUUAAUCAAAUUUGGAUAGAAGAACACACAAAUCCAAGCAAACUACCCCAUCCCAGCAUCUGACAGCACUGUGCAUUAUUUACUAUUUAAUGCUUAAACAAAAACCAUAAAUGAACAGCAAUAAAUAAAUGAUUCAGCUCUACUUGUAGAUUUCUUGUAGCAGAUAUAGAUCCUUAUCCUGUCUAAUGGUACACCUGAGAAGUAGCUGCCUUCAAUCUCCAUUUUUAAGUUCUUAAACACAUUGUAAAAAGGUACCGCUAAAAACUGUGAGCAUCACAAGGGCACAGGAAACCACAGAAAAUAGGAUCUGCAUCUAUUUCAGUGCUUCGCAGAGCUGAAAUGCUGUUGGAAAGUAUAACACGAGUGCCACUGCGCCCUUGCAGUCCUGCAAGUCAUUUUAAUGAAUAACAGUACUCUUCAAGCAUUUAUCCUUUCACAGAUACUUGUUGACUUGCCAUAAGGAUGAACACAAACAUGAGUUUCAGUAUUGUCAAAACUCCAAAGAACUAUAAAGAAGAAUGACAAUUCCAUGAAGAAGCUAGAAAGUGGAAGUUUUCUCAGUAAGGAAUUUAGCCUAGCUAAGGAGGUGACCAGGAAUAGAGUAAACUGAAUUAUGUCCAAGAAAAUUGCACAUCUAUUAACUGACUUCCAAGAAGUAACAUACUUACCCUCAAGUUCACCUGCUUCUGCCACCACUCAGUCUGAAAACAGUUUUGCUAUACAAACUCAUGUUAUUUUGUCCCCCACUUAAUGAGAAUUCAGGCUAUCAUCAAGUCAUAUCAUUUGCAGGUGUCAACAGUUUAUCAGGAUCCAUGAACUGCAUAUUGCACUUCGUUGGCUGCUGCUAAACAAUGCAGUGUUAUGCCAGAAUACUCCUACAGGGAUAUAGACAGCAUCUCAGAAAGGUACAUAUACAGAAGUGUAAUGGCAGAAAGAAAGGGUUCCCUCACAUGCUUCUGCAAGACAAACUCAGAGCUCUCAGCCAUGUUGUUUCUACCGUUUCUGUAGCAAGCAAUCUCGCAAUCCAUUUGCACAGUAAAAGCACUGGCCAGCAAGCAUCUGAUAAAGAACGUGAGUGCCUGACUGCAACUUUAGAGAGCUAGGGCCCAGAUUCUUGGGAUUCAGGCCACAAGGCAGUGAGAGUCCACCACACAUACUGUGCAGUUACUGUGAAGCAUCGUGCUUGCAGCCUACCAUACUGCUUCAAAUAGAUACCUGUGUGACAAAAUUCAGUGCUGAGUUGUGUAGCUGAACAAGAUAGCUUCAUUUCCUACAGAACAGGGAUUGCAGACUAAUUCUGGAGCAGUAUAUUGUGCCCACUGCUUUUGGAAUCAUGCCUUAGAGAACUGCUAGUCCAUGCAGUUAGUGAGAAACAAGUAGCUUUUCUUAGCAACAGAUUCCUGUCUGGAAGGCAGAAUUGAGUGAGUAUAUUACAGCGUAGAUACAGGACAGCAACUGUUUUAUACUGAGUAACUGCACAUCUGUUCGCCACUUGCAGCUACAAUCAUCUGUAUGGAGUAACUACUGCAGUAAUUCUAUCAAAUUACUGAUUCUAAACUGUGAACACCAACACACUAUUUCUGAAACAUGGAUUCUUACCUCUUACAAUUAUUUUUCUUUGCUUAAUGCUGAAAGUACUGCAUCCCACAUAGACCAUUAUUUAGUGUAAGAUCACUCACCAUAGCCAAGAUUUGCAGAAUACUGCAUCACUCUUCUAACUUCAAGUACUACUAAUGCGACAGUUACAAAACCAAGUAUUGUUAUUAAGCCAUUUACAAACGUAGCGAUUUUUCUCCCCUUCUCCCCCUCCCCAAAGUUUAUGAUGAAAGGAGAAGAGUUCCAAAGUUAUUCAUAAAGUGUGGUACAGAAAAUUAUGCAGAGGCCUACUGACUUACUUUCCCAUCUGUCCCACUGCCAGACUCCUCCCAUUACAUUAAAUUAUCUUUCCAUUUACUGUUGUUACGAGAGCCUGUCUGAAUUAUUAGAAGGAAAUAAUACUUUAAAACUGGGGGGUGGAAACCAGCACCAGAACGCUGCCCAUUAAUCUUUUGCCUAUAAGAUGCUCAGGUACUGUUGUGAAUAGUCCCAGCUUGUGAGGCAAAAAACCUAGAACAAGAAAGAGAAAGAACCCGGCAUUAUGUGGUAUAUCUCAGAGCACAGAACAAAAGCCUCAAUCAGACCAGUUUCAUUUUCAAAAUUAUCUGUGAUAGAGAAACUGAAGACAAGUGCUGUGUGUUCUGAGCUAAGCUUCCACCAUUGCAAGAAAUAUUCUCCAUUUGUGAAUUCAUACUAGAAAGAAUCAAUUUGUUCCUGAAACACAUCUGCCACCUAAGUUGGAUAGCUUUACCAUACAUACUCCUUCUGGUAGAGCAAUUUUUACAGUAAUCCAUUUUGAAACAACAGAUCAAGAUAAAUGCUAUUUGAUAGGUUGUUUCUAGGACUCUAUAAACUCUCAGCAAGGUAAAGAAGAAAAAGAAUCCACAAUACAGGUAGUAUAACUAACUGUUACGAUAUUAAAUUGAAGAUUUUUGUUGUUAUUUAUUGUUUUUCAAGAGUGCUCUGUACCAGAAGCUUCUCCUCCCUCUCCACAGGUUUUCUAGACAGUUACUGUAUUUACUUCAUUAUGAAAAAAGCCCUAGGAUUCUCUCCUUCAUGCAUCUGCCUCCUAAUCACCUUCUGGCAAGUCAAAACACUCUUUGAUCCAACAGUAACUCCUGUAGUGACACUGCACUGUUUAGCAGUUAUGGUUUUAUUAUGUAACUAAUAAACAGAACAUAAAUAACAAGGGAAAUAGCUUUUAUUUCAGAAACUUCUCAACAGUAGCAACAAAAAUAAGGGAAACGGAGCACAGAGUUUAUUUGUACUUACUAAUGCUUUCCUCUAGUUUACUUUGCAGACAGAGCCCUUCUUUCUCUUCAUCGUAGAACUUCAAAAUGUUUCAACCAAUUUGCUAGGAUUUUAGAAGAAGCCAAGUCAUGGUUAUCAACUAGGUCCCAGUUUAAAAACAUUAUGUAAAGUGCUCCUAUCAGGACUCAAUCACUUUUGUUUAAGCGAUUUAAACAUCAACAUUUUGCUAAGUAGACAGUAAUCAGAUAAAUAAUAUUUCUAACAUCAGUACAAAGUCCAUAUACAAAACCUUUUCAGAAUUCACCUGAAAAAGUGUCCUCAGGUGAUAAAAAUAAAACCUGUUCAUCACACUGAAAACCAGACAGGUAUAACCGGGAUCCAGUCACUGGAUAAUAUACAUCUCCGUGAUGAGAUUAGGUCCUUAUCUUCUUUUCAUUCAGUCACAAGAACAGAAAUGCUGCUAAGCAAAAACGUGGCUAUAUAGAUGCACACAAAGAUGUCUUUUAGAGGACCUGCCAGAAAUUUCAAAUCCAUAUUUUUAGUUAUGGAAAGAGGUACAUGGAUGCACAGUUGUUAUAGAACGCACACAUGAAGGACAUCAUUUCCGGAAGCGCUUAAAUAGGGGAUGGAUGUGCUUAUUUGAAGAUGCCUUACUCCGAGAUGAGUGAUAUUCCAUAUAAACCGCAUCAUCGGCUCCUGACAUAGAGCUCAUUGUGCCUGUGCGACGUGACAUCUGCAAGCAUGGAGAGGAAAAACACAUGCUUAGAGUGUGUGAUUAGACAGAUCAGCUCUCAUCUACAGACCUUCGGACCAAAAAGCCCUCAAAACUGGUUUUUAUUUUCCUUAAAGGAGAACUUCUACUAAGAAAGUAACUGCCUGCCUACCACUCACUCUUAUGUAAAAUGGUCUUUUAGUUUCUGCCCUUUGGGCAUGAGGAAAUCAGUGAAUUAAUGAGCCAAGAGCUAAUGCAGCUUAAAAAAAAAAAAAAAAAAGUUUUCCAGUAUUUUACUAAGACAUGAAGGCAUCAGUGGUGCCAUCACAUUCAGAAUUAAAACGGAAUGGUCCUAUUCUACUGCAUUUGUGGUCAUUCUUUUCAAAGCAUUUUUCAUUACCUGAACAGACUUUGAACCAUAUUCUCCAGCAACUACCUCCUCCUCGGCAUCUAGGUCAGAUGCUUGUAGGACUUUCUGAAGAAGUUGUUGCUGUUCUUCUUUGGAUGAAAAUGAAAGUUCUUCUUCUUCCAUGCCUGCAAGCUUUGUUAUUACCUAAGAAACAGAGCACAGUAUAAGUCAGGAGUUUUUGAACUGUUAUUAGUUAUGGUGCGUGUGCAAAUGUAUCCCCCACCCCAAUCUCCUGUUAUAUUCUGGCUUGAAAUGCAGUAGCUCUGGACAGGAAAUGUAUGCCAAACAUUGUCAUUCCAUGCCAGCUUGACCAGGAACCUUACUGGAAGGAUGACUUCAUGCUGCAGCUUCAGGUUUUGUCCAAUGGCCACUGAUGACAGAGCAGUUUACUUCAGAGUACCUGCAGUUCAUACAGGUUCUACCCACGGAGAUGUCCCAAAAUGGAUGUAUGCCUCUAAUGAUCUUCAACAGCUAGGUUCAAGUGCAAUCCAUUAGAGACUAUUUGCUCUUUCACCUUGUGCAAUUUGUGCAGUGACUGCUGCACAUGGCUAUCUGGAACAUCAUUUGUCUUUCACGUCACCGUCACCACUGCUGAAACACACCACCCACCACCUCAGUUUGCUAGCAUCUACUGUUUAAGUCUCCGUAAGUGUUCAGCAAGCUUCAGUGAACGUCAAUGGGUGCCAUUUUUUCUGCACGGAGGAAUUCAAUUCCACAUCUUUGCUUCAUAUGCACUUCCAUGCCAGACACCAUUUUGUCGGACUGCCCCCCUGCUACCAUCUGUCACACAACAACAACAUGCAAUGGAAUAUUGGUGAGAAGAUUCAGCCUUUACUGCCAUACUACCAACAUCCACCUCUGACACUGUGGGCCAACAUAAUUAAACAGGAGGCAUUACUUUCAGAUCCACCCUUAUAUAUCCGAAAGUAAUGUAACUAAAGUAACUUACCUUCCUAAAAGCUGUAUUAAACUACUUGUAUCUACCCUUACAGCAACAGAGUUAACAGAAUAAUGCAGGAAAAAUUUUUGCCUGCAAGUAAAACCUUCAUUAAUACAUUUCACAACUGUAAUUCUCAAGUAUCUGACCUAGUCACAAAAUGAAAGAAUUAAAGUUAUAUUCACAGGCCACAGUUUAGUAAUUAGAAGGGACAAAUUACCUUGAAGCUAUAGCCUUGAUCUACAAGAAACCGCUGUCGCUUUGUUGAAUAUGCCAUUUCCUGAGUGUCUUGGGAUACAAGAGAAUAGAAAAAGGCAUUGUAUUCCUCUGCAACCAUGCCUAGGAGACAAAGCCACCAAAGGAUUAGUUCCAUUUGGAUCACUACAACCAAGAAGAAAAAAGGACUAAAUUGUAAAAAUAGGUAUUCAAAGAAGAAUCCUCUCCACAAAAUCAGUUUGUAAAAUGUAUUUUAAAUACAAGCUGCAUCCAGACCUUACAUAAACUGAGUGACAAAGCACACCACAUCGAAAUUCCUACUCUUGUUCAUAAUAACUCGAGGAUAGCUUAAAGGGAAAUGGAAAAGGAAAUUUAGACUAUCCCAGUUAUGCUGGUACCCCGAGAAGAACCUGCUGCUUAACUAUGCAGAACAAAGUAGAAGAAAAAAUUACUUACAUAAUAGUUUGCAAACAAGUGGUAAGAAGUCGAGAACAAAGAUUGUAAUGGAUGUCAAAAAAGUUAAACAGAAAUUACAAUGGAAAUUUAUCAGUGUGAUUUAUCAAUGUAAACGAAAGUUAGCAAUCUUUUUGCAUUAAAAGAAAGAUAAAACGAUAUUUUCUUUAACAACAAAAAAACCAAAGCAACCAAACCAAUCAAACAAACAAACAAACAAAAGCCCACUGACCUUAUGGCUAUUUUACCUACUCUCAAAUACCACUGGGUUUUCUUGCAAAACCCAAGGUCUCACUAACACAAGUUUUGUAUGCAUUUUCAAACAAAACUUCAGCCACAAGAAACAUAAACUGUACAGAAAAUAAACUUUGCUGUACUACACCAAGACAGCACUGUGGAGUGUGCUUUGGUAGGAAGAAAAUUACAGAUAACAGCAGCAACUCUGUAUGGGGACAAUAAAAAGAGACUUCACAUCACAUGAAAACAGGUGGGAGAAAGCAAACCCCAGAUUCUGCUUACAACACUCAUUUUCCCAACAGCCAAAUGCAGAACUGAAGCACUGCAAUUUUAUUCUCCACCUGACAGUUAUCAAUAAUUUCCUCUGAAAUACGACCACUUCCUAGGGAAUACUCUUUCUAUCUAAACUAAGUGCCAACAGGCUGUGAUAUAAACCAAUCUUUAAGCUUCUUACUACCUUAACUUGAGAGAACUCUUGAAGUAGAACCAUUUCACCUUGAGCUACUUUAUAAUUUGUCUCAAGAAGAUAUAAAUGGGAUUAGAGCAGAUUAAACAUCGCCUAUUUAUCAGUUAAUAGAACAGACUUACAUCAGUGUCUUUUAGGAAACAUUCAGUUAAUCAAGUCAACCAGCAAAUUCUGCCUAAGAGCGAUUCACCUUAGUUCAAGACUAAUAGAAACGUCAAAAGAAAACGUGACAGAAGCAUCCCAAUAGCACUCAUAUGUAUUCUUCAAACUGAGACACAGAUGGGAGUGAUCAGUGAGAUUUCAAAUAACCAAUGAAGCAAUUCCUAAAAUCCUGACCCCACAGUAAGUUUAAAUCCUACUCACAUAUCCAUCAUAGAAAAAGGAAACACCAGUACAACUGCAGUUUUUUUCCUAUAUGAUCUCUGCACUCUGAGUCUAGAACAUACCAUAAAAAGCAAAGCUCACUUUCACUGAAGCUACAGUGACACUGUGACUCCACAUAUAUCCCAGGCCAGAGUGACAAAUAGCUUUUCAGCUUACAGUUUACUUAUCCUCUAGAAAUAUACUGGAGGAUGAGGGGAGGAACAGCAAAAACCUGAUGAACUAUUCAACCUGAUAACGAAAACAUGAUUUUGACAGUCUUUGGGUAGGAAGUAAAUGCUACAAGCACUCCAUUUAUGCUUUGCUAUGGAUGGACAGGAUUGCUGCUCCUGUUAGUGCCACAGCUUUCUACAACCUCCACCUGAAGUGUUUGUAAAUCAACUUUAAUAAAACACUAAAACAAGCAUUAGAGGAGAGAGAUACCUCAUAGAAACAAUGCUGGCUUUAUUGUAACAUAGUAUAUACAAAUUCACAAGUUUGGAGGAAAAAAAUAAACAUCACUGGGUGUUCUGGCUCAGCUGAUCUUAAGUUCUUAAAACAGAAAGGGGGAAACAAUGCUAUUCUGGCAUAGUAAAUCAUUGUAACAGGAGAGGAAAGAAGAUGCAAGAAAGUAUACAAGAAAGAAUUCAUUUCUGGCUAAAAAAGAAAUGGAGAAAAGAAAUAAGAGCUGCUGCAAGUGAAAGACUGAAUGGCAUCCGUAUUAGAACAACAACAACAAAGCCAAAACCCAACACUUCUCUCACACGGAACCUUGAACUACCUUCUUAUUCAUGAUAUUGCAGUUUAUUCAGUCUGUGUUUCAGUAUUCUAAAUAGUUGAGUAAUUAUCUGAAUGCCGUACUGUAUUCCAAAGAGCAGAGCCCAAGAACUACCUCACCUUUUUUGGCUCUCAGUACUCGCCCCAGUCUUUGAGCCUCCUGUCUUCGAGAUCCACCGUGGGAUGAAAUCUGAAUCAGAACAUUGGCUUCAGGUAGAUCAAAGGAUGUGUCACCCACCUACAACACAGAAGCAGUGUCUGAGCAGCAUCUUAUUUCCAUGUACCAAUAACGACUUUGUACAAAGUACACCUUUAUUAGUUGCAAUAAUAAAACGUCAAAUGCCCGAUGUGCAUGUAUAACUUGUUCUUAUAUAAGGCUCACUCUGAAGAUGAGUACAAAAACACACUACCUCCUCACCUUUGAAAUGAAAAUAGUGUUGAUUUUUGGAUUGUGCUUGAAGUUUUGUAGAAUUUGCAUUCUUUCUCCUUGUGCAGUAGGACCAUAUAUAUAAGGUCUGAAAAAAACAGAACACAUGCAAAUUAAACCAAUUCAAAAAUCCUCAUUUUUUAACAGGCACUAAGAUAUCAUGGCAGGGAGCUCAUUACACAGUGAUUUAAACGUAUUAAUAGCACUGGUGAAAAAAAGAGCAUGAGCUAUGUGACUCUGGAUGACAGACUUAGGACAGAGUAAAAACUGGCUUAACAAAUUUUGAGUUCUGAGGCCUCAAAAAAUUAAAGGCAAAAUAAUUCCUGUCAUGUGCAUGUUCUUUCCCUGCUAGUACCAAGGGAAUAGAAUGGGGCAAAGGAGGAGCUGGUGCAGCAGCAGCCACCAGGCAAUGCCAAUUUCUCUCCACUGGGGAGCCCACCUGCCCCAUAUGCUUGAGCCAGGCAGUGGAACCCACCCGCUGAGCCAGCACAGCC
RNAcentral lists this long non-coding RNA (14219 nucleotides) under Gallus gallus (chicken). The record is from RNAcentral. Lineage: Eukaryota; Metazoa; Chordata; Aves; Galliformes; Phasianidae.